RNAcentral lists this long non-coding RNA (889 nucleotides) under Ananas comosus (pineapple). Its description in RNAcentral is "long non-coding RNA (ACOM_LNC025939)". The record is from RNAcentral. Lineage: Eukaryota; Viridiplantae; Streptophyta; Magnoliopsida; Poales; Bromeliaceae.
GAAAAAGGGGGUGAAGAAAGCAAAGAGAAAGACAAGUUACUCACAUCUGAUUGUUUGGUCAGAGGCUAAUUAGGAGGGGGAAAAAAGUGAAAUAGUGAGAUGAUAUUUGAUACACUUUCCAAAAUGUACAUAAAGAAAGCUGUAUGCCCCCUGGAAAAAGGUUUGUACAGGAAGGGAUGUGGAUAAAUUCCUAGCGAGGCUACCCAUGGUGCUACUAGAGCUACUACUUGAUAUCAAUCUGCUUGGACGGACUCGGAUGCAGCGAAUCAAACUACAGGGCGAUCGUCAGAUGGUUGGCUCUUUAUUCAGGUGCUCUUCUGUCUGAAGGUGGCUACUGCUUAGUUAGCUCCGUCUUGAGUUAGCUCUUGUGACGCUCUUGCUUCUUAUAGCUAAUCCUUCUAGGCAAGUUAGAAGAGAACAGUGCGACUACCAAAGCUAGGGAACUGCAUGCCUAUACUGCUUGACCUACUUUAUUGCUUUUCACCGCCUCUCUUUUGUUUAGCUCCUUUUAAAAACACUUUUCUUUGUAGCUCUGUCUCUUUCUAGCUCUACUACUGCUAGGGAAAGGAAGAGAGAACAGCUACAGCCCUACCAAAGCUGUGGAACUGCUCUCUGUCUGUGCACUGCUUUCAGUGUACUGCUCUAUUGUUGGGUUAGGUAGGCUAUGUCUUGAGUUGGCUUAGCUCGCUCUUCUAAAUUAAAGCUAUUCUUGUAGUUACCUCUUUCUUCUUGUAGCAAGGGACCUAAAGACGCGGCACUCAGCGAUUUAAGGGCUUUACGGACAAGGCCCUACGCCUGCGAGGCUUAGCUACUCUUUGUGUCAUGUGUGUACGUACCGCUUAAAAAGCAAAGCUCUGACGGUCUUGUCUUGCAGCUAUCUCCUCUUCUU